RNAcentral lists this microRNA (21 nucleotides) under Human betaherpesvirus 5. Its description in RNAcentral is "hcmv-miR-US5-1". Its record names the gene hcmv-miR-US5-1. The record is from miRBase by way of RNAcentral. Lineage: Duplodnaviria; Heunggongvirae; Peploviricota; Herviviricetes; Herpesvirales; Orthoherpesviridae.
UGACAAGCCUGACGAGAGCGU